AGGAAGUUGCCAUAGUGAACUAUGAUGCUUUUACUAUGUUAGAUUUUAAACUUUAUUUCGUUGUAUCUCUAUUUUUUUAAGUUUAGUUCUUGAUUUAAGAACAUGAACAUUGUAGCAUGUUACAGGUGAAACAAGAUAUCCCAAAUUAUUCUGUUUGCUUUAAACUAUAAGCCUCAUAGGGAUUUAAAGAGCAAGCUCCAUAAACCUGGCCCUGCCUUUGAUAACGGUGAACCUUAGUUUCUAUGAACCUCAGUUUUCUCUUCAAUAAAACAGGGACAAUAGUAUACUUACCUUAGUUUCUUAAGUCAUUUCACCAAAAGCCAAUUCACUAAAGUACCAAGAAUACAAUUAUUAAGUACAUUCAAGAUGAAUAUUACCUAAAACAAGUUAGCUUUGGCAAAUUGGACAGUUUUUCAUUCCUAGUAAGGAUAGUAUAAAGAUCAAAUGAAGUAGUAAGUAAAUAAAUAAGUGAAUAAAUAAGUAAAUAAAUGUUUAGCAAAAUUCUUGGUAAAUCUUAGCUAUAAUUUCCUCACCAUGCAAAUUUCAAGUCCUGCCCAUUCUCUCUUCAGAAAAUUCACAAUUCCUGUUCACAUAAUCAUUGUUUUGUUGAAGGCUUUCACUACCUUUUAGAUUUCCUAUUGUAAUAGUCACUUAAUUGGCUUAUUCUCCUCCAGUCUUAUUGUACACACUACUUCCAAGGUGAUCUGUCUACCACUUAUCAUCUACAAUAAAAGAAAGGAAGGAAAGGAAAAGGGAAGGGAAGAAAUAUAAGCCUCGUGAUUUGGUCUAAAUAUUCAGCAUCAUCUCUUUUCCCCUUUUUCAUUUAUCUUCCAGCCCACUAAAUACUUAGUUUCCUUAUCAUGCAAUUCUUUUCCAAGAAG
This 881-nucleotide long non-coding RNA is filed under the name Marmota monax (woodchuck). Lineage: Eukaryota; Metazoa; Chordata; Mammalia; Rodentia; Sciuridae. The record is from RNAcentral.